RNAcentral lists this unclassified non-coding RNA (271 nucleotides) under Hevea brasiliensis (rubber tree). The record is from RNAcentral. Lineage: Eukaryota; Viridiplantae; Streptophyta; Magnoliopsida; Malpighiales; Euphorbiaceae.
GAAAUUCGAGCCACUGGACCUGUUCCUCCAUAAGACAAACCUUGGUAAUUGAUAUAAAUCAAUUUUUAUCUCGAACCCUUUUUUUCACCAACUUUUAAGUAUUCAAGUAGCUGGGAUUACAUGGGAGGAAUACAAAACAAUCAAAAGAAAAUGCUUCUUCCUCAUUAAAUAGCAGAUUGCACAAGCAGUUAAGUUACUUUCUUUAAGUUCCAACAGCCACAAGCCAAUCUGGUGAACAUCGUAUACGCUAACCAAGACCAGCUGAUGGAUC